GACGAACGCUGGCGGCGUGCCUAACACAUGCAAGUCGAACGAACGGGCGGAGGUUUUGUUUCUCGAGCGAGUGGCGCACGGGUGAGUCAAGCGUGAGGCUCCCGCCCCUAUGAGGGGGACAACACUUGGGGACGCCAGCUAACACCGCGUACGCUCACUACCAGGGCUUGGGUGGAGGGAGAAGGGGCGUUCUGCUUUGAGAUAGCCUGGAGUCCGAUUAGCUGGUUGGUGUGGUAAUGGCCAACGAAGCCGGCGAUCGGUCUCCGGACGGGGAGGGUGAGCCGCCACAUUGGGACUGGGACACGGCCCAGACCCCGACGGGAGGCAGCAGUGGUGAAGAAUGCACAAUGGGGGAAACACUGAUGCAGCGGCGCCGCGUGGAGGAAGAAGGUCUGCGGAUUGUAAGCUCCUGUUGUUGAGGAAGAUAAGGACGUUACUCAACAAGGAACAGACGCCAAACUACGU
Molecule: ribosomal RNA, 465 nt
Filed under: uncultured bacterium
Lineage: Bacteria
Description: partial 16S ribosomal RNA
Rfam family: Bacterial small subunit ribosomal RNA
Source: RNAcentral